Molecule: ribosomal RNA, 1052 nt
Filed under: Turbinaria sp. G20
Lineage: Eukaryota; Metazoa; Cnidaria; Anthozoa; Scleractinia; Dendrophylliidae
Description: LSU rRNA
Rfam family: Eukaryotic large subunit ribosomal RNA
Source: RNAcentral
AUUAUUAGCGGAGGAAAAGAAACUUAACAAGGAUUCCCCCCAGUAACGGCGAGUGAAGCGGGAAUAGCUCAAAUUUGAAAUCUCCGACGCUUGCGUCGGCGAAUUGUAGUUACGAGAAGCACUUUCUCGGCGGAUCGGGCGUGCCUAAGUUGCUUGGAACAGUACGUCGCAGAGGGUGACAACCCCGUCUGUGGCACGGCCGGCCGCUCACGAUGUGCUUUCGAAGAGUCGGGUUGUUCGGGAAUGCAGCCCAAAACGGGUGGUAAACUCCAUCUAAAGCUAAAUAUUGACGUGAGACCGAUAGCGAACAAGUACCGUGAGGGAAAGAUGAAAAGAACUUUGAAAAGAGAGUUAAAAAGUACGUGAAACCGUUGAAAGGGAAACGAAUGGACUCAGCAAUGCGCCGUUUGAGAUUCAGCCGGCCGGUGAAAUCGGCCCGGGCUUUGCGGAUUCGAAUGGACCGCGGUCUCGGGCUCGGUCUUCCCGUCCGUCGCACUUCUCUUGGGCGCACGUCAACGUCGGUUGGGACUGGGUGUCAAAGGUUCCGGGAAGGUAGGUCCGCGCUCUCCUCGCGUUGGCGCGUACUGUUAUAGCCCGGUUCUCUUGCGGCUCGGGCCCGACCGAGGCGGUUUGCAGCGCAUGCCUCUUUUGGCUAGGGUCCCGUCCGUCCGGCCGGUUGUCGACCGCGGUGGACUGCUCGCAGUGCUCCGCGACUGCUGCCGGUCGAUCGGGCGGUGAUCUCGUACCAUGCGCUAAGGAUGUUGGCGGUCAUAUGGGUCCAUCCGACCCGUCUUGAAACACGGACCAAGGAGUCUAACAUGUGCGCGAGUCUUAGGGUGACCGGAAACCCAGAGGCGGAAUGAAAGUGAAGACGGCUCCGGCCGUUGAGGCGAGAUCCUCCUUCGCAAAAGGACGGGGGCGCAUCGUCGACCGACCUAUUCUACUCUUAGGAAGGUUUGAGUAAGAGCGUGUCUGUUGGGACCCGAAAGAUGGUGAACUAUGCCYGAAUAGGGUGAAGCCAGAAGGAAACUUCUGGUUGGAGGCUCGUAACG